UAUUUGUUUGGAUUAAAGCUGUAAGUAGCCUCACCUUUCCCAGACUACUCCAGCUGAUCUCUGGGGACAGAAGCUUUAUAGGUAUUUUUUCACUAUUUUUUGAGCAUGGCAACUAAUAGAGUUGUCCUCUUGUGACUCAUGAUGACUCAGAGCCAGACACAGUAGGCAUGGCAGAAAGACAACUUUUCACAGACCUGUCUUACCACCUACUUCCUGUUUUAUUUUUUCAUGGAUGCAACUUUCCCUGCAGGAAGAAGGGAACAGUUUUCUCCAUGUACCUGUUGGGGGAGAGAAACAAGGCUGCUUCAACCAUCAAUCUGUGGGACCUCAGAUCUCAGCCUGAAAGCAAGGGUGAAACGAAAUACGAAAAUUGCACUGCAGUAGAAGAGGAGUCAGCUAUCUGAGGGCCUCUGCUGAAAUCCCAUCUUUCGGGUGUUGUUUCACUUUGCACCCAAAGUCAUAUUCAAUGAAUGGGAGAAACUGAGAGCAGAAGCAAGAAGCUGGACUCCUAAGGAUCCGUGCAAUUUGAUAGUGUGUCACACUUGGUGUGUGCCAGUUUUGCAUCUGAAUUAAAAAGGCCAGGGAACUGUACCAGAUCAGACCUCCAAGUAAGGAGGUUUUGCAGAAAUCCAUGACCACACAGAAGGAAAAUGCAAACUUGUCUCCCAAAGGUGAUGUGGGAUUUCUCACCUUCUGAAAAUCCUGUUCAUGCUGCUGCUUCAUACCACUGGUUUCCCAAGUUGGUUCUGUAAUUUCCUCAUUUGCCAUGGAAGGAUUGCUAUCUCAACUCAUCUGUGCUGUUUAGAAUCUGAUCACUGGUUUCAGAAAUUGAGACUACCAUUUCUGGUCCUAUUUAAGACUGAGGGAGAAAUGUGAAAUUCUGAAAUCUUUUCAAGACUGGAAAACAGCUUUCUACCAAGUUCCCCUCAAAUGAGAUUGCAGAAAUUCUUCUUUCUCCUUUUCUGGCUCUGUUACCACACAAUUCUCUUCAUGCUUGUCUCCAAGACCAAAUCUGAGCCAGCCUGAGAUUUGUGCUGAUGGAAAUCAUAGUUUCUUCGGCCAAGAACAUCUAGUUAGAAGUCUGAGAAGAGCUGGCAUAUCUCAGUAACAGUGUGUAAGGACAGCCCAAACAUCUUCACGUUCCCAGCCCAGAUCCCUGCCGCCAGCAAGCCCAUUGGAUGCUCCUGCUUGGCCUCUGGCUGUGCUCGCUGCCGGAUCCGUGUGUGAUGAUGGCACCACGCCGAGCCCAGGGUGGCCUGCCAGUUCCCGAGGGGAUGCAGGUACUGUGUAAAGAGGGGGUUUCGUGGGCAGCCUGCCUAAUGCUGUGAGGGGAACUGCUGCCUACCAAGUACCCUUCCCUCUGCAACAGCGACACACACGAGUGCUCCUGAGCCCCCUUUGGCAUAUGCGUAUGUAAACAGGUCCAAAUCACAGAGAAGACUACUGUGCGGGCAAACACCGCUGCCAAAAAGGAAAAUUGCAUCGCUCAGGUAACUGAGGAACCUCUGGCAGCAAGGAAAGGUUGUAAGAGUAUGAUCAUGUUAACAUCCAUCCCUCUGGCUGUCUGGGUGAACGAUAAAGGUUGUAAACUUACAUCCUCUGCCUGAAUAUUGAAAAUGUGGCAGCUAAUGCUGUAGUAAAAGAAGUAAUAUUUUAUUCGUUUAAAAGAUCAGCACACAGGAAAAGUGAAACACAAGACUUAUAAGCUGUCUGCAUCCCAUCCUUCAUGGCGGCUUCAGCCCCUAAGUAGUCACAUUUCUGAGCACUGGGGAAAUGUGAGGAGCUAAUCAUUUCCUCUGACUCAAAAGCAUAACAGCAGACCAGAAAGCAAAGCAAAAAACAUGCAGCAUGUUUCUGAGUUUCCCUGUUUCAAUCUGCUUCUCCGCAUGUGUGAGGUUUUUUUCACCAGAAUCAUCAUUCCUCGUGAUUCAGCUUAGGGCAUUGAGCUGCCUGAUUCUUGAGGACUUCAACAAAUCUGAAGUCCUGGAAGUAGUCUGGAAGGAACUAUGAAAGACUCCAUGUUUCUUGGGCUCUCUUUGCUGCCCGUUCAGAUUUUCCAGGAGUGCUAUGAGAUAAACUUUUUAUCUCUACAUCACCAUUUCACAUCCAGCCCCAGAGCAGCUCAUACCUUUCAAUGGGAAAAUGUCUGGGAAAGAGCUGAAGGAAAGCUUUCACUUCAGAUUUACUCCCUGCCCUCUGACUCUCCCCCUUCUGAAGAGGCAGCUCAGAGUUUCUGUACCAGCUUACCAGGGAGAUGAAGGACUCCAUCAGGACUGGUCAUUUCACUGUGUCCAGCCAUCCCACUCUCUUUUCCAAGAUGCUCCAGUCCAAGUUGAUCAGAACCCAGCUACCAGAAUUGAUUCUGCUUUCUCACCCUUCCCCAGGAGAUGUUUCAGCCUCCACAACACAACUUCCAGCUGGGUUUCACCAUGUUUGUGUCUCACCCUGGCAAAAGCUCCACACUUGCCAUGCUCCUUUCACAGGGGCUGCAGAGAAGACCAUGGGUGUGUGCUUGUAUCAUUUAUGCUCUUUCAUUAUUACAACAUAGGAGAGGGAAAGGGCCAGAAGGUCAUUCAGUGGCAUCUCCGAAAUGUAGAUCUCAGGAUGUUCCCAGAUGAAACAGCCGUGUGAGAACCCACCACUGCUGCUGGCUUUACUGGUUUAAGGCUGUCUGGGUGUAGACGCUAAUCUGCCCUCCUGUUUCCAGAGGCAGGCUACCAGUGUAGCACAUCAGUAAGGCAACCAGGAGGAGGUGACACCUCUUCUGUACAUGUGGGACUUCAGUCUCCAAUGGUUUCAUUCCAGCACCUUUCCCCACUGUAAACGUGGUGGAGAUUCUUGUUCGUGUUCUAAAGUCAGCAUUAAAUUGGAUGUUUUAAGCUGAGGAUAUUUUCCCAGUUCUUGGAAAGGGUUAGACACAGCUCUGAGCUGGGCAAAGUGUGUGUUUGCCAUCAAACUAAGCAGCUGUGUUCAUCUUGUCUUGGAUUUCUUUAUAUGAGACGGGCUGAUUCACAAAAGGAAAUGCUGAGGCCACACAGGUUGUCAAGUCUCUAGUCUAACCAGGUGUAAUGACUGAGGUUUUGCAGGAAAGCUGCAGUUAAAGGAAAAAAUAACAGAUCGCGGGUCAAAUCCAUCCCUGAUGCAACUCUACUGUCUUCCGUGAGAGUUACCCCUGGGUGAAUCUGGGCCCACGUUCCUCACUCAUGAAAUAAAACAAGAUCCCUUCUGCAGCAUAAUCAAUUGGAAAA
Molecule: long non-coding RNA, 3248 nt
Organism: Cygnus olor (mute swan)
Lineage: Eukaryota; Metazoa; Chordata; Aves; Anseriformes; Anatidae
Exons: 8
Source: RefSeq, a predicted model, not a curated record